CCUACGGGUGGCAGCAGUGAGGAAUAUUGGUCAAUGGACGAGAGUCUGAACCAGCCAAGUAGCGUGAAGGAUGACUGCCCUAUGGGUUGUAAACUUCUUUUAUAUGGGAAUAAAAUGUUCCACGUGUGGGAUUUUGUAUGUACCAUAUGAAUAAGGAUCGGCUAACUCCGUGCCAGCAGCCGCGGUAAUACGGAGGAUCCGAGCGUUAUCCGGAUUUAUUGGGUUUAAAGGGAGCGUAGGUGGAUUGUUAAGUCAGUUGUGAAAGUUUGCGGCUCAACCGUAAAAUUGCAGUUGAAACUGGCAGUCUUGAGUACAGUAGAGGUGGGCGGAAUUCGUGGUGUAGCGGUGAAAUGCUUAGAUAUCACAAAGAACUCCGAUUGCGAAGGCAGUUCACUGGACUGCAACUGACACUGAGGCUCGAAAGUGUGGGUAUCAAACAGGAUUAGAUACCCUAGUAGUC
This 460-nucleotide ribosomal RNA is filed under the name uncultured bacterium. Its description in RNAcentral is "partial 16S ribosomal RNA". It matches the Rfam family "Bacterial small subunit ribosomal RNA", at positions 338 to 795 of the family's 1533-position model. The record is from RNAcentral.